CGCUGGCGGCGUGCCUAAUACAUGCAAGUCGAACGCACUCUCGUUUAGAUUGAAGGAGCUUGCUCCUGAUUGAUAAACAUUUGAGUGAGUGGCGGACGGGUGAGUAACACGUGGGUAACCUGCCCUAAAGUGGGGGAUAACAUUUGGAAACAGAUGCUAAUACCGCAUAAAACCUAACACCGCAUGGUGUAGGGUUGAAAGAUGGUUUCGGCUAUCACUUUAGGAUGGACCCGCGGUGCAUUAGUUAGUUGGUGAGGUAAAGGCUCACCAAGACCGUGAUGCAUAGCCGACCUGAGAGGGUAAUCGACCACACUGGGACUGAGACACGGCCCAGACUCCUACGGGAGGCAGCAGUAGGGAAUCUUCCACAAUGGACGAAAGUCUGAUGGAGCAACGCCGCGUGAGUGAAGAAGGUUUUCGGAUCGUAAAACUCUGUUGUUGGAGAAGAAUGUAUCUGAUAGUAACUGAUCAGGUAGUGACGGUAUCCAACCAGAAAGCCACGGCUAACUACGUG
RNAcentral lists this ribosomal RNA (514 nucleotides) under uncultured bacterium. Its description in RNAcentral is "bacterial SSU rRNA". It matches the Rfam family "Bacterial small subunit ribosomal RNA", at positions 34 to 507 of the family's 1533-position model. The record is from RNAcentral.